RNAcentral lists this ribosomal RNA (254 nucleotides) under uncultured bacterium. Its description in RNAcentral is "partial 16S ribosomal RNA". It matches the Rfam family "Bacterial small subunit ribosomal RNA", at positions 524 to 776 of the family's 1533-position model. The record is from RNAcentral.
UACGGGGGGGGCAAGCGCUGUUCGGAAUUACUGGGCGUAAAGGGCUCGUAGGCGGCCAACUAAGUCAGACGUGAAAUCCCUCGGCUUAACCGGGGAACUGCGUCUGAUACUGGAUGGCUUGAGUUUGGGAGAGGGAUGCGGAAUUCCAGGUGUAGCGGUGAAAUGCGUAGAUAUCUGGAGGAACACCGGUGGCGAAGGCGGCAUCCUGGACCAACACUGACGCUGAGUGAGCGAAAGCCAGGGGAGCAAACGGG